This 657-nucleotide long non-coding RNA is filed under the name Citrus x clementina. RNAcentral describes it as "Citrus clementina (C. clementina) long non-coding RNA (CCLE_LNC003002)". The record is from RNAcentral. Lineage: Eukaryota; Viridiplantae; Streptophyta; Magnoliopsida; Sapindales; Rutaceae.
GGUUUUACUAUAAAAAAAAUAAAAAAAUAAACAAACAAAUAAAUAGAGAUUCAUAACCCAUUUAUUGAACAUAUAACUAUUACAAUGAUUAACCAUUGCAAACAUAAAUAAUUGGCCAGCUAUUAAUGAGCUGGGAAGGGCCCCACUCGUCAAAAAAAUUUGUUCAUUUUUCUGCCACGAAAUUCUUGGAAGGAACUUGUUAUUAAGCCUACGUAAUUGAACAUUUUUUUCUUCUAAUGUUUGAAUUCUAUUCUAAGAGACGGCAGAAAUUAUUACUAUCAUGUUAACAUUCAAAGAAAAAAUUAGUAAGAAGUUGGUUUUGGGCUUUGUUAGUAACGUGUGUAUAAUUGUAUAUACAUUCAUUGACAAAAUUACGGUGCAAUUGUGGUACCAUACCACAAUUGCACUCAGCUAUUAGAUCCAGUCACAGUUGUCACCCUAACUGGAUCUAAUGGCUGAAAGCAGCAAUGGUAUCAUACCACAGUUGCACAAUGUCUGGACCCUAUAUUCACAUAAUAUAUUAUUCUAUGUAAUUCAUGUGUUUAUUUCUAUAUUUUAAGGGAAGAGUGGGCAUCCCGCUACAUAAGUCUCACCCAUUCCCACGUCUACCUCCCAUUUUUUGCAUUUCUUUUAUUAAAUUUAAUACAAUUAUAUUUA